UACGUAGGGGGCAAGCGUUGUCCGGAAUUAUUGGGCGUAAAGAGCGUGUAGGCGGAUAUUUAAGUCAGAUGUGAAAACUGGCGGCUCAACCGUGAGACUGCAUCUGAUACUGGAUAUCUUGAGGGUAAGAGAGGGCAGUGGAAUUCCUAGUGUAGCGGUGAAAUGCGUAGAUAUUAGGAGGAACACCAGUGGCGAAGGCGACUGCCUGGCUUACAACUGACGCUGAGACGCGAAAGCGUGGGGAGCAAACAGG
Molecule: ribosomal RNA, 253 nt
Filed under: Peptococcaceae bacterium
Lineage: Bacteria; Bacillati; Bacillota; Clostridia; Eubacteriales; Peptococcaceae
Also listed under: 2 other names
Description: partial 16S ribosomal RNA
Rfam family: Bacterial small subunit ribosomal RNA
Source: RNAcentral